GGAGGGGUACCGAAGUGGUUAUAACGGGCCGCUCUCGAAAAGCGGUUGGGUCUUAAAGGCCCACGCGAGUUCGAAUCUCGCCCCCUCCGCCA
This 92-nucleotide transfer RNA is filed under the name Candidatus Omnitrophota bacterium. RNAcentral describes it as "tRNA-Ser". It matches the Rfam family "tRNA". From Rfam's summary of the family: Transfer RNA (tRNA) molecules are approximately 80 nucleotides in length. Lineage: Bacteria; Pseudomonadati; Candidatus Omnitrophota. The record is from RNAcentral.